AGAGAGAGACAUGCGCGCAUAUCAAUAAGCGGAGGAAAAGAAACUAACAAGGAUUCCCCUAGUAACGGCGAGUGGAAGCGGGAAGAGCUCAAAUUUGAAAUCUUAAAGGGUUUCCCUUUACGAAUUGUAGUUUAAAGAAGUGUUUUUCUGUUGAGGUUUUGGUAAAAGUUCUUUGGAAUAGGACAUCAUAGAGGGUGAGAAUCCCGUAUUUGACCUUUACUUUCAACUUUGUGAUACACUUUCAAAGAGUCGGAUUGUUUGGGAAUGCAGUCCAAAAUGGGUGGUAAAUUUCAUCUAAAGCUAAAUAUUGGCGAGAGACCGAUAGCGAACAAGUACCGUGAGGGAAAAGAUGAAAAGAACUUUGAAAAGAGGGUUAAACAGUACGUGAAAUUGUCAAAAGGGAAGCGUUUGACACCAGUGUUGUUUUUUCUGAAAAUCAAUUAAAGAACUGUUUAUGCUAAGUUGUUUAGACUUUAUCAGCUAACUGUUUAGUUUUUGAGCUUUUCUUUAAUGCACUUUUCAGUUAACAAGUCAACAUCAAUUUCUUUUGCUGUAAAAAAGCUUGAGGAAGGUGGCUUGAGAUUCGUCCUUAAGUGUUUAUAGCCUCUUGCCUAUGCAGUCGGAGAGAUUGAGGUCUGCAGCGUAGAUCCUUCGGGGCUAAAUGCAUUUGUGCUAAGUUAUAGCAUUUUAUAGACAACUUGUUUGACUAUGAUUUGUCUUGUAGCUUACUCGCUUAUGUUAUUUUACCUACGCUUAGGAUGUUGACGCAUGAGAUAUACGC
Molecule: ribosomal RNA, 781 nt
Filed under: uncultured Neocallimastigales
Lineage: Eukaryota; Fungi; Neocallimastigomycota; Neocallimastigomycetes; Neocallimastigales
Description: partial large subunit ribosomal RNA
Rfam family: Eukaryotic large subunit ribosomal RNA
Source: RNAcentral